Long non-coding RNA from Gavialis gangeticus (Gharial), 1904 nucleotides. RefSeq lists it as uncharacterized. The record is from RefSeq and is a predicted model, not a curated record. The transcript is spliced from 2 exons. NCBI's taxonomy places the organism in Eukaryota, Metazoa, Chordata, Crocodylia, Gavialidae.
CCCAUCGGUGUGGCGUGGAGAAAUUCACGUUCCUGCCGUGCUCUGUGUUCCCUGGGUUUCUUCAGCCCUUGUGACCGGGAAGCUGGUUUUCCUAGUUGCAGGGGGAAAGCUGCCUUCUUGGCAGGGGGCCGUAGGUACCCUGACCGAGGUCACGCAUAGCUAGCCUCCCGCUUUUGCUUCUAGCAGAAAGAUCUCAGCUAUGCGCCAACUUUAUGGGAAUGGCAGGCUCCUCCCCAGUUUGGUCCUGCGGCCGUACGGCUGAGGGAAUAUAAAUGGCAAGAGGCUAAAUAGCAGUACAAGCAAGAAGAUGCAAAUCUCUUUUUAAGGGUAUGAAUCAUCAGCUCAAACGCACCAUACAUCAGUUGUGUGAUGUUUGCAGCUUGAAGUCGAAGAAGUUGGGCUGGAAGGGACCUCCAGAGGUCAUUUAGUUCAGUCGCGCUUGAUUAGUAACUACAAUGGAAUGUUCUGUACUGGAUGUGUCUCUAAAAGUGUGACGUUACUGAAGGUCAUACAUGAAUGAGACCACUUCAAAGAAAGUUAUAAAUGUUGAAAUAUAGGUGACUCGGAGGAUUAAAAAGAUGCAUAGAUAAGGCCCAUCUCUGCACUGUUUGGGCAAAACAUGCAUUGGUUUUACAGAACAGAGGGAAAAACUAGGUUAUAGUUGUAUGUCUCCACAGCAAUUUUGAGAAUGCCACCACACGCCUGUUUGCUCCAGGUCUGCACAUGCUGAAUGCUUUAGAAAAGGUGUAUGGUUGUCAUUGGAGUGGUACCAGAUGUACACUGCCCUCAGUGUCUGAGACUGCGAUUCUAGGCAUGCUCUAAAAAGUAAGUGCAUGUCACUUUUUUGCAAGUGAUGUUUGGGGAGCAGAAGCAAGCAAGUGGCACAGUCUCAUGAUUGUCACAGAGGAGGCGUAUGCACAUCCUUAGAUUACUGACUGGCUGAAAAAAACAAGUGGCUUGCCUUUAUGUCAGUACAAUAUUAGGCUAAAAUAGGCAACAUGCUUCUCGUGAUGGUGAGUUUUACUGCACUUUAAAAAAAAAAACCAAACAAAUCCCACACACUUAAAGUCAGCUUGAUUCCUUGAGCUGAUUCUCUAAAAUCUUUGGAACAAAUGCUAAGGUACACAGGAGUACACAGUUUGUACCCACAAGUGAUGGAGUCCACAGAACAGAUAUUUUCCAGCACUCGUUAUCACUACACUGGUAUAGUGAUUGUUUUUCUUUUUUUUCCUCAUGCGAAGAAAAAGACAUAGACAUUUACUUCAAAGAGUAUUCAACUGCUGUUAAUCAUGAUCUGAGGAGUGUCUAUACCUGAUGGGUUACUCAGCACAGAUAAUCUGAGAGAGCUUUCUGGUUCACAUAUUCUUUUUCUACUACACCUAUCUGCUGGAUUACCAUACCUUGUGUAAUACCCUGGUGAGCCCCCAGAGCAACAAUUUGUUUUUUCUUGAACUCCAUCCUCAAUUCGGGUAUAGUCUAAGCCACAUAUAAUGGCUGCAUUUGGCAAUUAUAAAAUGGACCUAACCCAUCUCAACUUCUGUCAGCGCUAUGCUAUUAGGAGCCCUAAACUAACUAGAUCCUGUUAGUUUCAAGGCUGCUUUUGAGGCAAGCCAAGGCACCCAUAUUAACCAGGAAAGGAAUUUCAUAAGGUACAACUAUGUGAGUGGAGAAGCAGGCUCUGAAUAACAAUAUAACUAGCAUAUUCAUGCCACUGAUAUUCCGAGUGAUUGAUUUGGCAGUGAUGAGGCGCAAGCUGGCCAUGCUAUGGGGGAUGAAACCAUAAGGGCUUCAUGUCAUCAUGGGCUUGGGGUCAGGGAUUCCUUUUAUCUAGUCUUGCCUUCAUUUUCUGUAUAGCCAAAAGCUCACGUGAGAGACCCCUGACACCUGAUGGGGUUAACAGUUUU